This 253-nucleotide ribosomal RNA is filed under the name uncultured bacterium. Its description in RNAcentral is "partial 16S ribosomal RNA". It matches the Rfam family "Bacterial small subunit ribosomal RNA", at positions 524 to 776 of the family's 1533-position model. The record is from RNAcentral.
UACGGAGGGUGCGAGCGUUAAUCGGAAUUACUGGGCGUAAAGGGUGCGUAGGUGGUUUAUUAAGUUAUCUGUGAAAUCCCUGGGCUCAACCUGGGCAGGUCAGAUAAGACUGGUAAACUCGAGUAUGGGAGAGGGUAGUGGAAUUUCCGGUGUAGCGGUGAAAUGCGUAGAGAUCGGAAGGAACACCAGUGGCGAAAGCGGCUUCCUGGUCCAGCACCGACGUUCAGGCACGAAAGCGUGGGGAGCAAACAGG